Molecule: transfer RNA, 72 nt
Filed under: Synechococcus sp. CC9902
Lineage: Bacteria; Bacillati; Cyanobacteriota; Cyanophyceae; Synechococcales; Synechococcaceae
Description: tRNA-Val
Source: RNAcentral
UUCCCUCUAAAUCACCACGAGCGAGCAACGCAAAUGUAUCGGCAUCCUGGGGCGGAAGCUUGUCGGGGUCGA